UUCGUCUCUGACCACCGGCU
Molecule: unclassified non-coding RNA, 20 nt
Filed under: Mus musculus (house mouse)
Lineage: Eukaryota; Metazoa; Chordata; Mammalia; Rodentia; Muridae
Description: oocyte_clustered_small_RNA8843
Source: RNAcentral